GUGCCAGCAGCCGCGGUAAGACGAACCUUGCUAACGUUAUUCGGAAUUACUGGGCUUAAAGGGUGCGUAGGCGGUGCAGCAAGUCGGGUGUGAAAUCCCUCAGCUCAACUGAGGAAUGGCGCCCGAAACUGCUGUGCUCGAGGAAGAUAGAGGUACGCGGAACUUAGGGUGGAGCGGUGAAAUGCGUUGAUAUCCUAAGGAACACCGGUGGCGAAAGCGGCGUACUGGGUCUUUUCUGACGCUGAGGCACGAAAGCUAGGGUAGCGAACGGGAUUAGAUACCCCCGUAGUCC
This 292-nucleotide ribosomal RNA is filed under the name uncultured bacterium. RNAcentral describes it as "partial 16S ribosomal RNA". It matches the Rfam family "Bacterial small subunit ribosomal RNA", at positions 505 to 796 of the family's 1533-position model. The record is from RNAcentral.